This is a long non-coding RNA of Peromyscus leucopus (white-footed mouse), 4570 nucleotides long. RefSeq lists it as uncharacterized. The transcript has 8 exons. The record is from RefSeq and is a predicted model, not a curated record. NCBI's taxonomy places the organism in Eukaryota, Metazoa, Chordata, Mammalia, Rodentia, Cricetidae.
CAGUCUGCGGGCGGGAGGGUGCCGGCGAGGUGGCGAGGGCGGCAGGUGCGGGGGCGCAGCAGCCCUGGCCAAGCCCAGAGACCGGAGGACACCCCCUCCCAGAGCUCUAACACAGGCAACUUCCCACUGCCGGGGAAGGAGUUUCUCCGUUGCCCACGGACAUCCAGGAGGCGCUGUGGAGGGCAAGCAGGGUAACCCCCACUCCUAACCCACAUCUAUCCAAGGGGAGCCAGAGGAGCCAGCAGGUCCGGACUCGCUGAGGGGGCUCCACGCGGGGCCUCCCACGCACAGGAUAACAACUAUUAUCAAAGGUUCGCUAUAAAAGAGGAUGCUCAAUUUUGGUAGAGUUGCAAGAGGACCCAGCCCAAUUUUUCAACCAGUGAGUUGAGUUCCCUCUACGGUAACUCUCCUUGCUGCCAGUUUGAACAACUCCAGAGUGGGAAUUGAUAACCUGCCCAAGCACUCUGCUCCAUCACCAGGGAGCUAGUGUUUACAAACAACUGAACAGGAAGAACAGAAGCUGCCACUCAGUACCUCCUGUGUGACAGUCCUGGGUGUGUCUUCAAGGCUUCAGAGGAAGUGACAGUUCUGCAGGAGAGCUUCCUGAUAUCCACAGAUGCCACUGGCUCCACACACUCCCACCUGUCCAUCCCCAAUAUUUCUGUCCAGACAGACUCUUCUCUAUAUGACCUGAUUUGGGUGCCCCUUGUUUUACGGGUCAAUCUAGAUACUGUGCUAAGAGUGAGGGAUUCAGAGAAAAUGGAUAAUUGAGUUCAAUGGACAUUUUAUAGACUCUUGACUAACGUAUGCCACCCACUGCACCAAGGUCUGGAAGCACAGAGAUGAUGGAGAAACAUCUCUUUUCUCCAGGAGCUCAGCUGGGAGUGAAAUCCCACAGAACAGCAGAGAAAAUGACAAGGAACAACUUGUUGCCAGGCAGGUGACAAAUCAAGAAACAUGAAGCUAAACUGAAGAAAGAUGAGUCACUCACCAGGUGACGAAAUCACGAAAUGAAAUUACACAGUGUCUCGUCUGAUUUGUGCUGCCGUAACGGAAUGUCUGAAGACAGAUCAUUUAUAAAGAAGAUCCAUUUACUCUGGCUCAUGGAUCUACAAGGCCAAGAGCAAGAUGCUACCAUCUUUUCAGUUUCUGGUGAAAGCCACGUGUUUCCUGAGGUCCCCUCUGCCUGAUCCCCUCUCUUCUGCCUCUUCGCAUGACCAGGAAGUAGUGGACAGAAAGCACCCACCUCAGAGGAUGGAGCCUAUGCCUGUUUGUCCUUGUGGUAGACAGCUCUUCCUUGACUCCCUUCAGGAAACACAAAACAUGGGCCGACCUGAGCUGGGACUUAGCUGAGAAGCAGAACCAUCCAAUCAACAGUCCCUCAAUGUUCACCCAGCUGGGACCUCUCUGCUCCCUGGCUAAGGCCUCAGGGACCUCCAGGUAGAGUGGGAAAGACCCAGGCUACUGGGGAGCAGGGCUCCUGGAAAGCUUUCCUACCUUCAUUCUGGGAGCAAGGGUCACCGAAGUUGUUUAAGACCAUGGAGGUGGGGGGAGGGUGCAAAUGGGGCCUGGCUUGGAGCCUCCACCUUUCCUCAUCAUACCAUGGUAUCUGCUGAAGCUGAUCAGAAUCCAGGCCUUAGCCCAGAGGUGUCCAGAGACGGCAUCUUCUGGAAGGCUCUUGGUGAGUCUACAGGGGGAAUUGGGUGUGCUGAUGCUGUGGAAUCCAGGACACAGAAGAUCCUUGCAAUGGCUGAAUCCCAGUCAUCCCAGGGGACCAUAAAAUCCUCACAGAGCGGGAGAGGAGAGAGACUCCAGCUGCCUCACACAUCAGGGCACGUGACCCAUCUGCUCUCUACCCGCCCCGGCAGGUCCCGCCUCUGCUUUCUUGAACCCAUCUGCAGAUGCAAGCCCUGGCCUGGGAGGGCCGGCACCCCCUGCAGCCCUUCUGAAGCUGCCUCCUUUGGAUCUUUUUGCGGUCUGGGCUUGCUGUUCUCUCGACAGUAGUCAGGAAGCCCUUACCCCAAAAAGUAUCUACGGGGGGCGUGGCCUACAGGGGGGCUCCAAGGGUUCCAGGUGAGUCAUACCAAACCCAAGAUUACCAGGUGAAUCCACACAUCCUUGCCAUAUGUUUGUGUUGCUGGGUGACCACAGGUCAAGCCCUAAAGCUGUGCUUCUCAACCUUCCUAAUGCUGUGACCCCUUAUACAGUUACUCAUGUUGUGGUGACCCCUAACCAUAAAAUUGUUAAAUUGCUACUUCAUAACUAAUUUUCCCCUUUAUGAAUUGUAAAUAUCUGAUAUGCAGGUUAUCUGAUAUGUGACCCCCAAAAGGGUUGUGACCCACAGGUUGAGAACUGCUGCCCUAAGGCUUUCUGCGCCCCAGUCACCUCCUACCUGUAGCCCUUGCCUGGUAGGCAGUGUUCAUUGAGAGUGGCUCCAGUCUAGGCCAGAGAAGACCACUUGGGUGGAUGUUGCUGGCCACCGUGGGCACUCCCGGCAGGACGGUCACUCGGUAUGUCCAACCCUCCCUGUGCAUCGAGGAGACAUGAGAUCCGAGACAGGCCUGGCUGUCGGUGUGCAGACCGGGGACUGGGAAACCACAGUUGAUCGGACGGAUCCCAGCAGCCAUGCGAAGAGAAGAUGAUGAGCUUCUGCCCAGGAUGAGGUGCCUGGCAUCUGCCCUCUCUUAGCCUGAGUGGCCACUACCUGCUUCCUCCCGCGAGUCACUACAAAUCCUUCAAAUAAAAUCCUUGACUGUUCAUGUAAACAGAGUGGAUACCUUUACUUACCGCUGAUUCAGAGCCCUCUAGAGGGAGGAGGGGGGAUUGCACACGCUGGAGUAAAGGGCCCGACCUGGGAGAAAUCUGUCACCGUCCUGAGAGGAGGCCACUUGGGUGCGUUGACGAGGGUCCAUAGUCAAGGGCCGCCGAGUUAAAAUCCAGAGGAACUAUCUAAAGGUGAGUGCCGUGUGGAGAUAAAGAUCAGAGGAUCGACAUAACAUAGAAAGAUUUAAAAUCACCGGGUCCUCAGUUUCCAGAGGUGGUAAGGACAGGUAAUGACAAUUUGACGGAGUUGGGGAUGCCUCUGCAGCUGUGGUGAAGUCACAGCCGGUCGGGGGUGACCACAUGGGUAUCCAUCUCAUUCCCCUCCUCCCCCAUCCCACCAAGGUUGAAAGGCCCCAAGCACAGAGGAGGCCAGGCUCGGUGCCUUUCCUUAUCUGGAUCUUUCUACGCUCUACAUCCAGGUGCGGGGUGGGGGGCAGCCCAAGGCGAGGGGUACAGCGUCAAUCUCAUUGUCAACAAAGCCACAGACCUUGAGAAAUGAAGCCCCCAGAAGGCUCCAUCCCCGUGCAGAAGCCACAGGAGGCAAAUCUAAGGCGGCGCGUGAGCGGGUGUGCGAACCUCGCUGAGCUCAAGUGAGCCUGAGUGGGGCUGGGAGUGCGCUGCGGAGGUUCGGGGAGGAGAGCUGAGUUCACAGGUCAGAAUCGGGAACCAUAGGUGUGGGGGGCAAACGCCCCCACUUGGAGACAGGCAGACAUCAGCAGAGAAGGCAUGUCCUCGACGGGCCACCUUACAAGGCUGACUCAUCUUGUGACCACAGGCCCUGAUGCUCCCGGACCUCCCCAUUCUGACCCCCAAACACAGCAGAUUCUCUAGGCUGCCAGCCCCCGCGUGCGAGUGGCAACGGUGUGCAUGGCUCACGGGCGGCAUCGUGCGGUCAUCGUGGGGCAGUUCCCUUUACAGCCUCCAUUGUGAGUUACUCUAGAGGACAGCAGUCUUUCCCAGCAGAUUAGGAAAGCAAAGCCGUCCCAUCCCAAAGGGCGCAGAGCCUGGGGCGGGGUGGCAGUAUGUGGGAAAGGUUGAUAAUGUGAGGCGUCCUUCAGUGAGCUUGUUUACAGCUCGCUCAUCACUUGGGACGAAUCACCCCCUCAAAAUGGGUUUCUGCGUCUACAAUCUGGACAUUUGACUGCCCUUUGCUCUUUAGUCGAGUAUCUCAAGUCACAGUUCUGCUCCUUCGGGGAGCUGUUCCCGUUAGAAGGAAUCUUUCAGAAAAGAUUUCAGCUUCCGAUGUACAUAGGAAGAACCUGGCCUUCUGAGCCGGUCAGAUCUGGAGCCAGAGAUCCCAGUCUUCCUGUACUAGCUGUGUGCUCUCGGGACAGCCGCGAACCCUCCCAGGGCUUGUCUCCUCAUCCACAAAAGAAGCACCCGAUGCCUUCAACCAGAACUGAAGGUGGAACCCAGGGACAUCAUAAAAAGCCUCCGCUCACACCGUUCCAGGCUUCAGCUUGGGUGGAUUCAUGAGAAAGGAAUCCAGGUAUUGACAUUUGGAAAUGGGAGUUGCUGAAUGCCUAAGGAGUGCGGUUCUACAGCAGUACCCUGGGAAAGACAGAGAAAGAAAAAAGCUAAAGGAAAAACUAGUUUUGAAGUAUUGCAACCUUACAGCAAAAUACAAAGAGAAAUAGAACAAGGACCUCGUACCCUGCCCAAGAAACAACAGAAGCUAACAUUUUGCUGCAUUUGCAUCAGAUUCUUAAAACAAACAACAACAACAAUAAAAGACCUUGAACACCUG